AACGUCGGGAUUUAGGGUGUU
This 21-nucleotide microRNA is filed under the name Medicago truncatula (barrel medic). Its description in RNAcentral is "mtr-miR2626". Lineage: Eukaryota; Viridiplantae; Streptophyta; Magnoliopsida; Fabales; Fabaceae. The record is from miRBase by way of RNAcentral.